UUUUCCAUGCCGCUUCUUUUAUCUCGGAGUGUGUGUAUGUGUAUGAGGGCGGGGGGCAAAAAGAAAACAAAACUCGUUUUUUU
Non-coding RNA from Caenorhabditis elegans, 83 nucleotides. NCBI's taxonomy places the organism in Eukaryota, Metazoa, Nematoda, Chromadorea, Rhabditida, Rhabditidae. The record is from Ensembl.